RNAcentral lists this unclassified non-coding RNA (240 nucleotides) under soil metagenome. Its description in RNAcentral is "partial contains 5.8S ribosomal RNA, internal transcribed spacer 2, and large subunit ribosomal RNA". The record is from RNAcentral.
AACUGAUACUACCUGCGGGAACCUGCGGAAGGAUCAUUAGUGAAAUUUGGGCGUCUCUGCUACAGAGAGCCUGUCUUCCACAUUUUUAACCCUGUGCACUUGACGCUCGUCUCGUGCGCUUGUCAGUCGGACUCGGCUUCCUUUUGGAAGCCGAGCCGGCGAAAACCACUUUUUAACGCAAGUUGAUGAAUGUAAUUUUAAAUCUAAACCAAAUAAAACUUUCAACAACGGAUCUCUAGA